This 747-nucleotide long non-coding RNA is filed under the name Physcomitrium patens. RNAcentral's name for it is "long non-coding RNA (PPAT_LNC003707)". Lineage: Eukaryota; Viridiplantae; Streptophyta; Bryopsida; Funariales; Funariaceae. The record is from RNAcentral.
UCCUCUCCUUUGGAGCAAUUACAUCAAUAUACAAGCCUUAAAAUCCAAAGAAUACCAAAAUACUUGAUAAGGUUUUAUAAAAAACUUAUAUAUCCUUAUGAGGAAUUUUUCCCGAAGUUCAACAGCUCAUAACUUACGAUCUAACCGUCUAAACAACUCCAAAUUUUACAUGGAGUACUGAUAUAUCUUUAGCAACUACCACACCAAAAUUCAACCGUAAAUUCGUCUUGGAUCUUGUAAUAUCUUGAAAAUCCUAACUGUAGCUUCAAACCCUAGCUUUUUUACACCCGUGUACAACUUCCUUCAUAUCUCACAAAGUAAUUAUUCAAAUACUAUGAAACUUUGAUCUAAAGCUUUUUAACCCAAUUACACACACUUGUGGAAAUUUUGAGCCAAAAAUUCAUCCAGAAACUCAAGAUAUGGCUUCACCCAUAACUAGCAACAAAACAAUAUACUUACUGCCUUCAAAUUACAAGUGCUGUCUUCAACGCCUCAUAACUCCUUCACUCAAUCUUAGAAUUCACUAUACAGUAAGUAGAAUAUGUAGCCAAGAAAAUUCUCCCUCCAAAUCCAGUCGCCGAUCUUCCCUUGCUCUCCGUAUUCGUAUGCGAUGCCCAAAAGAAGUGACAGUAGGUACGAAAUUGACACCUUAUCUUUGAACAUUCAUAUCUUUUCCAUAAAAACUCGAAAUCACACAAAAUCUUCACCCAAAUUAUACCCAAAACCUUAAACCUUCUGAUCCUAGCC